Haplochromis burtoni (Burton's mouthbrooder) is the source of this 2212-nucleotide long non-coding RNA. RefSeq lists it as uncharacterized. The transcript is spliced from 5 exons. The record is from RefSeq and is a predicted model, not a curated record. Lineage: Eukaryota; Metazoa; Chordata; Actinopteri; Cichliformes; Cichlidae.
CACAGCCUUUAAAGCCUGUGUGUGGUCUCCCACUUGCUUGUCACGUCCUUGAGCCGGGUUGUGACAUAUGAGAGAUCAAAAAUGUUGGAAAAAAUAAUAAUUUCAGAUUAAAUUUUGAUCUUAAAGUUCCAGAAACAGGCGAAUGUUAUCAUUUGUAUAUUACUGUAUAUUUAACCUUUCAAUGUCACAGUAUUGUCCGAUGCAGCUACUGAGAGACGUUACUUUGCAGACGCUCACAUGGAUCCUGCUGCUGUCUGCAGGUGUUUAACAAGCAAACAUCUGCUAAACUCUAUGUGUCUAUGUAAUCUGCUAAAUGAAUUACUAAUGAGUUUCAUUAGCCUGCUGUCUGAGCUGCAGUCGGGUUUAACUUCAUUAACACUUGAACCUGUAACAGAAGUGGAAACAGUGAAAUAGAGGUAGAUGACAGGAGUUUGGUGGUUUUGCAGGGGGAAGUGUGUCUUCUUUCUUUCCCUGUGUGAUGUUUAUCAGUGCUGGUGCUGAAAUAUGGAAGCUGAUGUUUAGAGUAUUUCCUGUGUGAGGGCGUUCAGGCUUUGUCCCAUUUGCAUGGGCAGUGUAACAGCCCUGGACUGUGGGGGUGUGGUCUGAAUAUAAGCCUGGUGAUCAGAGAUCACUCACACUCCUGACAGGAAGCAUCAGCCUCCACCUGAUCAUGCAGACACAAAGAAACAGGAGAGGAUAUAUACAACACUUCAUAAACUGUAAGCAUCUGUGGCUGAAUGAGCUGAAGAAGCUCGCUCAUGACUUGAAGAACCCGUAUCUCCUAAAAGAAAACGUCCCUGACUACCCCCGACCCGAGUUUCACGUGUCUCACCUGAAACACGACACAGAGCGAGGGGCUUUAUGUUGGAUCAGGACAGACGGCGGCUUCAAGGAUCCUCACAGAGGCUUCAGGGAUCCACACAAAUGGUCCCUGGUGUGGUGGAGUCUGGCUGUGGGGCCCGAGGAGAUCCAGGCGGCCGAGACGAGGCUCCUGGAGAAGACCUACCCAAACCGGACGAAGGAGCAGGCUGUGAAGCAGCAGAGCUUCCUGUGGAGAUUUGCCACCUCUCCGGCCUUCAGUGAGAAGUCCAGGUAUGGAUCGUACCGCUUCACCUUCCCCCUGCAGGACGUGCUGAGCGCCUACAGCCAGCAGUUUUGCUUUGGAGCUCCGCCCAUCAUGAGAGUGUUCAGGACCUGCCUGUUCAAAAAGAAAGUGCAGUACUCUGUGUUGGUCCACAGCCCAGCCAAUCGCGAGCUCUUCUCAGAGUUUCCAUUACUUCCUGGUAAUGACCCGAACGCUGUCUGCGCGUACAGAGACGGACGCUUCAUCUGGAGGUCGGAGGCCAUGUGUGAGACACACAGGUACGAGCUGAUCCACAGACCUGAUGCAAGUCAGAUGGACUCUCUGGAGCUGUUUGGACAGCCUGAGUUUUAUCUUUGGGAUAAUGUUGCCAUCGCCCUGCAUGUGGAGAACGGACAGGUACUGAAGUUUGAUUCUGACCAACUGAGAGAGAACCUGAAAUUCUGUGAACCAGACAGACCCACAGUCACACCCAACUUCUAUUUUGAUCAUUUUGAAAACGCUAAAAUCUUGGUUAACCAAUUGUGGCCCGACUCAGACUCCCUGCUGGAGGAGGAGCCUUCACUCAAGCUCAGUUUCAAAGCGCUCUUUCUUUCCGUGAGAAAACCAAAGAGGAUUAAAGACUUUACUGAAGUUUGAAGCCUGCCUGCAGUGAGACGACGCCUCCAGUUUAAACUCUGUUUGUUUGCUGUUCCGUAUUUUAGACCAACCAAGUGUAUUGUUUGACAGCGGUGUGGUCACAGCUUUAGAUAACGCAUAUUUAUGGGUUUUGAACGUAUGAAUUCAUACAUUGUUGUGUUGUUUUAACCUCUGGUGAGAUAAGAGUGGGUGGAGCAUCACAGCGCUGCUUCUUUAACCUACAGCAGAGGUCGGUGUUGUUGGUGUGAUGGGUGGAUGGAUGUGACGUGUUCAUGUACCCAAAGUUUAAUAUGAGACAUUUCUGUAUUUUGGCAAAGUGAAAGCUGUUUUUAUUUUGUAUCUGAAACACAAAGAUGACUUUAUUCAUUUAUUCAUGCUUUGAUCCAAACAGAAGAAUAAUAUAUCGAGUGCAGAGAGAGUGUGAGCGUGCAGCGUUUAAAGCGUGGAAGUAAUCACAUUACUUUGAGUUUGAUUCCAUAAAAAGUGACAAAA